This 347-nucleotide ribosomal RNA is filed under the name uncultured bacterium. RNAcentral's name for it is "bacterial SSU rRNA". It matches the Rfam family "Bacterial small subunit ribosomal RNA", at positions 8 to 352 of the family's 1533-position model. The record is from RNAcentral.
AGAGUUUGAUCCUGGCUCAGGAUGAACGCUGGCGGCGUGCCUAAUACAUGCAAGUCGAACGGGAACCGGAGACUUCGGUAGCCGGGGAGAGUGGCGCACGGGUGCGUAACACGUAGCUGAUCUGCCCUUUGCAGGGGGAUAACCUGCCGAAAGGUGGGCUAAUACCGCGUAGGCUCGAUGAGGUUAGAGGCUCAUUGAGUAAAGCUGCGGCGGCAAAGGAGGAGGCUGCGACCCAUCAGCUAGUUGGUAGGGUAAAGGCCUACCAAGGCAAAGACGGGUAGGGGGCCUGAGAGGGUGACCCCCCACACUGGGACUGAGACACGGCCCAGACACCUACGGGUGGCUGC